RNAcentral lists this ribosomal RNA (434 nucleotides) under uncultured bacterium. RNAcentral's name for it is "bacterial SSU rRNA". It matches the Rfam family "Bacterial small subunit ribosomal RNA", at positions 917 to 1349 of the family's 1533-position model. The record is from RNAcentral.
GGACCCGCACAAGUAGUGGAGCAUGUGGUUUAAUUCGAAGAUACGCGCAGAACCUUACCAACACUUGACAUGUUCGUCGCGACUUUAAGAGAUUAAAGUUUUCGGUUCGGCCGGACGAAACACAGGUGCUGCAUGGCUGUCGUCAGCUCGUGUCGUGAGAUGUUGGGUUAAGUCCCGCAACGAGCGCAACCCUCACUUUUAGUUGCCAUCAUUUAGUUGGGCACUCUGAAAGAACCGCCAGUGAUAAGCUGGAGGAAGGUGGGGAUGACGUCAAGUCCUCAUGGCCCUUACGUGUUGGGCUACACACGUGCUACAAUGGUAUCUACAACAGGAAGCGAGACGGCGACGUUUAGCAAAUCCUUAAAAGAUACCUCAGUUCGGAUUGCACUCUGCAACUCGAGUGCAUGAAGCUGGAAUUACUAGUAAUCGUGGAU